RNAcentral lists this ribosomal RNA (497 nucleotides) under uncultured bacterium. RNAcentral describes it as "partial 16S ribosomal RNA". It matches the Rfam family "Bacterial small subunit ribosomal RNA", at positions 28 to 507 of the family's 1533-position model. The record is from RNAcentral.
GAUGAACGCUGGCGGCGUGCCUAAUACAUGCAAGUCGAGCGAACGGACGAGAAGCUUGCUUCUCUGAUGUUAGCGGCGGACGGGUGAGUAACACGUGGAUAACCUACCUAUAAGACUGGGAUAACUUCGGGAAACCGGAGCUAAUACCGGAUAAUAUUUUGAACCGCAUGGUUCAAAAGUGAAAGAAGGUCUUGCUGUCACUUAUAGAUGGAUCCGCGCUGCAUUAGCUAGUUGGUAAGGUAACUGCUUACCAAGGCACCGAUGCAUAGCCGACCUGAGAGGGUGAUCGGCCACACUGGAACUGAGACACGGUCCAGACUCCUACGGGAGGCAGCAGUAGGGAAUCUUCCGCAAUGGGCGAAAGCCUGACGGAGCAACGCCGCGUGAGUGAUGAAGGUCUUCGGAUCGUAAAACUCUGUUAUUAGGGAAGAACAUAUGUGUAAGUAACUGUGCACAUCUUGACGGUACCUAAUCAGAAAGCCACGGCUAACUACGUG